RNAcentral lists this small RNA (543 nucleotides) under Pongo abelii (Sumatran orangutan). RNAcentral's name for it is "processed transcript". Lineage: Eukaryota; Metazoa; Chordata; Mammalia; Primates; Hominidae. The record is from RNAcentral.
GCAGGAGUGAACAAAAGCUAUCUCUACUUGUCUCCUAGUGGAAAUUCAUCUCCACCCGGAUCACCUACUCUUCAGAAAUUUGACUGCACUUUUAAUUUUAAUGAUAAUGAUUUGCUGCCACCUAUGGGCUAAUGUGGAAAGAGCAGAACAUGUCAUUACCAACUUUCUUAGAUGCUGAAUAUAAAAUCUCAAGGUCAUCCUGGCAGACUUGAAGCCAACUGGACAACCCUUCAUCCUCUUUUCUGAGAGAUUUAUUUUCUUUGAUAGCCUAGCCGCAUACUUGAAUAGAACCAGAAUCCCCUUGGAUUCUUUUUGGAAUUGGGCAGUAUACAUAAAGCAUUGUUAGCAGUCAGAUACUGUGUUUUUGCCCUUGUUUGAGUAGAUUUGCAAAAGAGUGUGUAUAAAAAGCAUGAAAGAGUCUUUGCUAUUUAAGUAAUUGUUUGGUACCUGAGUUUUGCUUGUUUUGUUUUGGAGAUCUGUUCUAGUUGGAGAACUUGGGAAUUCUGUACGAAACAUUAAAAAUAAAAUAAUGUUUAACAGGUA